RNAcentral lists this ribosomal RNA (652 nucleotides) under Triticum aestivum (bread wheat). Its description in RNAcentral is "partial small subunit ribosomal RNA". The record is from RNAcentral. Lineage: Eukaryota; Viridiplantae; Streptophyta; Magnoliopsida; Poales; Poaceae.
AAAAAAAGAUAAAAAUUGAAUUGUGCAGAGUGUGAGCAUCAACGAUUCAAGGACACUGCCAAAAACAAAUCACAGCUGAUCUGAUUGGAUUUCAGUCAAACAAAGGCCACCCAAAUAAAAAAGUCUGCAUCUGAUCUAAGUGCUACAAGCAAAAAAUGCAGCUUGCUCAUCCAGCCUUGCUCCUCCUGUCCACAAGAUCGACAGCAGCCGCUCGAGCUCGGCGACCAUGGUUGCGAGGUCGGCUGGCCUUCCAGUCGCACCAUGCCACACGCAGACAUGCGUCUCCUCAUGUACACAGAGACGCACCUCACCCCGGACUCCUUCCGCCAGAUCCUUGGUCGAGGGGGAGAUACGAGGGGCAGGAGACGCCGGCGAGGCUACACUUCUGACGUGGGGCAGAAGUCGGCGACGUAGCAGGCGUGAUGCAGGCCGCAACUUCGACGAGCCAGACCUCGGCUGCGCGUCCGCCGCGGCCGCGCACAAGGGGGUGCCGUCGAGGAUGGGGUGCAGCGGAGGAAGCGAAGGGGCUACGGCAGCCGGCCGCCGCCACGACCAUCGAGGGAGAGAGGAGGGCAGAGGUCGUGGGUGGGCUGGGGCGCGGGCUGCGGGGUGGGUGAGUUGAGGAGAAGAGACACGAGCGAGCCGUUCCGCG